UCUCCGCGCUCCGCCCAGGGCUGCCGGCCGCUGGGAUGGGAUUCAGCCGGGCGGGGGGAGCGGGCCCGGCACGGAGCUGUAGGGUCGUCCCCGGGAAGGAGAGCUGCGGCCCCGGGCGGCCGUGUGAAUGCUUAUUCCCCGUGGCUCUUCGCUGAGAACGGAGCAGGGUCAAAAGCUCAAAGGACGGAAUAGUUUGUUGGGUGGAGGCCCUCGGGACAACGCCCUAACUCCCACGCGCUUUUCCUGGGGUUUGUUGUUGUUUUUAGUUGGGGUUGUGUUCUUUGUUUGUUUUUAAAAAAGUAUUUCUACGCAUCAGGUGGUUAUCACUCCAUGCUGAAGCCUGCAGCUAAAGGCGUGGUUGAUGUAAAGAGGUCACCUGGCCUGUGUGAAGCCAUGCUGCAUGGAAGUGGCUUCACCGGGUGCGUGUGGCCCUUUCAGGGUGGUGUCCUUUUGAGGGAAUGAACGACACUUCAGUUCAAAACAUGAGUUCUGGCUGUACCCAGAGUAUUUGGUUUGCUAAUUCAGUGAAAUGCUCUUCGUUUACUGCUAUAUAUUCACGACCUCUAAAGGACCUCACUGUGCUUUUCAGCAUCUUCACAAGGGGAAGUGGAGGGGCAGGUACUGAUCUCUUCACUCUCAUCAGGAUUCAAGGAAACAGCAUCAGUCUGAGUUGGGAGAGUUUUAGGUUUGAUAUCAGGAAAAGAUUUUUCACCCAGAUGGUGGCUGAACACUGGAACAAGCUCCCCAGAAGACAAACAUCUGGGGCAAAGGAGAUUCCAGCCAAGAGGAAGGAUUAUCAUCCUGAACACAGAAGACUAAAUGAUUCUGAAUUUUCAUAUACUAUGUGCAUUUCCUUUGAGUGACUUUUACUAUCUAAUGGAGGUUUAAGGAAUUCUAGUAUUAGCAGAUUUAAAAACAGAGAAAUUGUAAAAGUGACAAACCAUUACCCGCUGGUGCCCUAUUCAUUUCAUCUGGGAAAAGUGCCAAGUCCUGUUUUGUGAGGGUUAGGGGCUGGGAUGUGCUGCAUUAAGAUCUGUUCAAAGUAUUUACAAACUGCUCAGCAAAUACAACCAGCAGCUUUGGUGUUCCUCAAACAUUAGGAGAGGGACAAAUUCUCAUUGGAAUAGGAAUACACCAGCACUAAGUAUCACCAUGACUUAGACACUGCAUGCUCAGGUCCCAUAGUUCAGUGCCUGUUAAGAUGUGUUUCCAAUGUCAGGCAGAACCUGAUAGAUUGUUUUUAAUUCCCUGAGCAUUUUUGGCGGUGAACCUCAUCAGAACAAGAAAAUGUGUUGGUAUGGGCCAGCUCUGUGAUGAAAUUUAUUGUAUGCUCAUACAGUGCAGAGGAUUGUGUGGCAAGAGGAGUGAAAGCUUGCAAAACAUGACUACUUAAUUGGGGUUCCCAUGCCAUAAGAAAGUGUGGUAUGGGUGCUCUUGCCUCUAACCAUGGCAACAAGUAUUGAACACAGGGUGUGUGUGAAAUUAUGUUCUUUAUCCAUACACGAAUGCCUGUUAAAUGAGUCUGAUAAUCAAGCAGCAUUGGCUGACCUCCCAUCUCCAAGAGUUAACCCACUUUAUUCAGAACCAUGAUAUGAAUGAAAAGAAAAAGGGUGCAAUCUAGUCUGAUGCAGAAAUGUUACAGCAUAUGCUCAAAUAUUAAGUAUCAAAUAUUAUUAUGUGUCCAAGAGCUGUUAUAAAUCAGCUUUGUUUAGCACCGUGUGUUUUCUGGUCCUGCACUAGGAUUUUAUUUGCCAAUGUAUAAACUGUUAACUUUAUGCCCAAUGAACACAGGAAAUCUGUUGGCUGACACAAUCAGCUGCAUAAAGACUGUUGCUAUGUAGCUGUUUGCUCAGAGCUUUUGCAUGCUCUCCUGUGUACCCAUGGUAUGUUCUUAUUAGCAUCCUUACUUACUAGAGUACCUGCCUGUACUGAAGGAGGAAGCGUCCCACAAGAGAUUUUUCUCCUUUCUCCAUGAAAAAAAUUUGUGAAUAGUUACUGGGAGAGUCUGGGCUAAAACAUAACUUAUGAUGUAUAAGCUGUCAGGAUGGAUUUAAAGGGAGAAGUUGGAAGAAAAAAGGUAAUUAAUAAUUCCCUCUGAAUAGUAAAGAGAGUGAGGCAGUUUCCUGCCAUUUGGGACUUGGAAAAAAAUGCUUCCUAAUAAAGAGUAAUGCAAGGUUUCUGAUGUGGAAAAGUUAGAGACACAGCGGGGAAGCAAAACCACCAAAAAAGGUUUGAUGUCUGGGAAAUGAAGCAGCAAGGCUCAUAUCCAGUUAACAGGAAGAAAAGUUAGCAAAGUUUUAACUUCUUAAUUGAAUAUAUAGGAAAGCAGUGGGUUGGAAAGUAUGUUCUAGUACAGAAAUCAGUAGGGAUUGGAGAACACAGAAUGGAAACAGCAAGGUAUAACCAAAUAACUAAUGUAAACCUCCAUGUGCUGGAGGGAGGGACUCCAAGUGUGGCAGUCAUGAAUAUCUCACCUGGGCGGAGAUCUGUGCCCUGAUAGAAAGCCAGGGCAGCCUUACAUGCAGGUAGGGGCUAGAAGUGAACAUAAAUGAUAGGGGGAGAAGGAAAUGAAUAAUGGUUCUGUGCCAGACCUAAUCUUCAUUUCUCUGCUUUUCCUUCUUUUCAAACUCUGUUGCUUUUUGUCUUGUUUUAGAUAUUUAACAGCCUGGGGAGAAUGAGGUACAGAGUUUCUAGUGUAUUCUAAUGCACUCUGUAACAUGUGGCCGCUAAUUCUGAGUGUUCAUCUUCAUUCCAUACCUGUAUCACUGUAAGCUACCAUGGAAAAAAAAAAAUUCUCCUUUGCUCCUCUGUUACUUUGUUUUUUGUAGGCCUAAAAAAGAUGGGGGUUUCCAGCUCUGCACCAUACUUUCUAGGGUAUCAACUGAUGUGAUUAUUAAAUAUCAGGAUUUUUGCCUAUUCUCCUGUAAGUGCCUCUCAAUAAGACAGAAAGUACCCUCUGUCCCUCAGUAAAACUUUGUAACUGCCAGAAUAUACUUGCCAUGUCUUGUGAGGGUUGAUUUUGGCUUACAGUGUAUUUCUCAAAAGCUGAGAUAAUGCUGCUAAUGUCUGUGAAGAAAAUAAAGGGUGAUACAUUCCUCUGCAUUGUUGGCCUGUAAAUUGGAAAAAAAUGCUAUGAAAGGAAAAAUUGAUUAUAUUUUUAUGCUUUUAUGUCCAUGAUAUCAUACUUAGCUGCUAGCUGCAAUGACAUUAACCCUGGUGUCUCUCUCUGCUACAUGCAAGGUCACAGCACUGUUUUGCUUUUGCAUUUUAACUUGACCUUUUCUCUAGAAUUUCUAAGUUAUUAGGGUCUUCAGCUACAGAGGAAAUCCACACAUAAGCAUGCUGGUGAAAUUAUUUUCUCAGAGAACAUAUAAAUUAAUGAACAUUGAGCAUGAAGUAUUUACAUUUACAGGAGUGUACUGGCUUGGACAAUGUUUCACUGUGUUCCCCUGGUUACUUCAAAAGAGUUAUUUCAAACCUGCUACUUUUGGAGUGAUCCAGCUGAUUUCUGAGGGACCAGAGAUUAAAUCACCUCUGCCUUACCAGGUUUGAUUCAAACUUAAAUGUCACACUCUCUCAUCUGCAAAUCUGGAUUUCAAUGAUCCACUUAAUAGUCCACUUAACAUUUAAGUUGAACAACUCCCCAGAAGAAGCUAAGAGUGGACAGGCCUGAUUUCCACAGGUUCUAGACGUGCCUCAGGGCUACACACUUGUACUGCAUGGUACACAUGACACAACAUGCAGUGCAAACAGCAGUAAAAUUCUGAUCUAAACUAGGGAGAUGAUUUGUAUUCGGUGCUUUGAGGUCUUGAGUACUAAUGAGUCUAUUGACCUAUGCAGUACUCUGUAGGUUAGAAAGUUAAAGAGUAUAAGGAAAGACAUUUCAAAUCCUAAAGCAGAUAGAAAAAUCCUGUCCAGCUCUUUUAGUCACACUCCACAACCCCUUCUUAAGUUGUACCACAUUUUGUCAUAUUUUAUUACUAUAUUUAUGCUUUGAGGAUUUUGUUACAUCUGUUUGCCAACACACUUGUUUGAAAUGCAUCCAAUGCAUUUGUUUAUGCAUUUUUCCUACAAUAAACUGUUGUAUCUUUGAGUAUUAUAUGUAAGAUUGUUAUUUUAAAAUUCACUGUUGUCUCAUUUCAGCUCUGAUUGUAAUGCAUGUAGUGUAUCUGGCUAUUGAUGGAUUAAACUGAGCAUCAUGUUGGUGGAAAAAGGCUAAUACAUGUGAUGCCAGAGCAGCACAAAGUGAUAUGAUGAAAAAGUCUCAAGUAAGUUUGUGAAGAAAGGAAACCUGUCCAGGAGAUCUUUACUCUCAGCUAACCUAAGGAAAAAAAAAAAAAAUCACUGUGUUUGUAGUCCUUUAUUUGUCACUGUAUUUUAUACUAGAAAUGGAGAAAUUAAAACUUUUGUUCACAGCUGACUUUCAAUAGCUAUGGGAGAUUUUGAUUUAGUGAUUCCCCCCCACCCCAAGACAUCACUUGCUAAGUGUGAAAUCUCACCCAGAAAUCCAGUGACAUCAUCUCAAUAUUACAGAGACAGAACUUUUUUGCCCAUUUUUGUUCCAUUUGAAUGCAGGAUAUUAUUUGAGCACUCACAGUGUCAUUCUCAUAUAUCUGAAUAUAAAGUAAGUCCCUUACAUUUCCUGAAAGGUCUGUAUUCCUCACUAUUGCUCACUUAAUUUCUGAAACUGAAAUUUCUGAAGUUUCUGAAACUGAAUUUCUGAAAUUUUCUGUACUAGACUUGAAAUCUGAAACAUGUUAAUUCCAUAGCUGAAAGCCAUUUUUAAAAUGCUUUACUGUUGCCCAUUUGAUUUCCUGUGGUUGAAGGAGAGUUCCACCAACGUUAUCUUCCUCAGCCUCUUUCCUGUUCCCUGAAAAUUACACUUGGAGAAAACAAGACCACAAGACCACCUAGUUUUUUGAUUGGAUUUUGUUUCAAAAUAUGUCAGGCUGAAAACUGCUUCCUUUUUAAACCAAAAUCAAUGGUCUCUAAAAAAGGGAAAGAGUUUGGAAAACAUUGGAAAGUAUAUCAGAAUAACAUGCAAAGUGACGUAAUACUUUUUCAGGGAAGAAAGGAUAAGGAAAUAUAAAGCAAUAAACACAUCCCUAUGAGUCCAUCAUGCAGCCACAUCUUCCAUGCUAAGGGAGAACUAAUUCCUCUGCUUUCUACUCCCAUUUCAGAAAAGAGGUGUGAUAAAGGAAUAUAACAUCCCAACUGGUGUGGAUGAACUGAAUGCAUAUUCAGUUUCUCACAAUAAGCAAGCAGGUGAUAAAAAGUGACUGGCAUCCUCAAGGUGUAAAUGAAAGAGACUGCCCUUCCCCUCUACACCCUUAGUCCUGAACAGCAGACUGAUUUUCAUGGCAAAAAUUGAAAUUAUUUUAUGCAGGUUGAUUAUAAAAUGAAUACAUACACAAGAAAAAGUGUAUUAAAACCCAGUGUUUUUAAUGAUUGCCUACUGGAAGUCCCAUUUCAGAGAUUCAACAGUCUUUUAUGUAAGUAAGUAAGUAUUGGGCACUUUGCAAAGUGAUUGUGGAGAACAGACUUAUUGCUCAGAGCAGGAGUUUCAAGAAAGAAGUGUUUCAUUUCAGAAAGCUAAAUUACACGGCUGAUACCUAUACAGCACUGGCAGCAACACUGUUCAUUGCAGAAGAGCCAUACUGCGUUAGUCAAAACAUCUAUUUAACCUUCAUCUAUUUUACUCCUCAUGCAGCCAGCAGCAGUACUUAGGCAAACAGUGUAAGAAUAGGGAAAGCAAGUAAGUGUUCCCUCAGUGCAUAUGGACACAUUCAGUCAGAGACUUCCUAAGCCACAGAAAAGAGUUUUGCAUUUAAUGCUCCCGAUGGAUAAAUGGAGAAAAUAUAAUUGACAUGUUUGUGCAUUACAGCAGCUUCUGAAUAAUUAUGGGAAUGUUGCUUUAUGCCUAGAAAAUGUCUGUGAACUUUCCCUUAGGAAAAAGACCUUUUAUAUGUAAGGUGCAUGUUUUUGGUUUGUCCAUGUUAGUGUGUCACACACAUAAUUAAAGUCUUGGGGUUUUAUCUCACUUACCUGCCCUUGUAGGUAUUAGAGAAUAAGCACAUAAUAUUUACACUGUGCAAUUAGAAGAACUUUAAAUUAUUGAACUAUAAAUUAUUGAAGGUACCACUGAAUUGGUAAACAAUAUACAUCUGCCUACCUGUUGCAUUUUAAUAAUCCAUGAUCCAUGGAUUAUUUUAUCUGUGGAUCAUGCCCAACAUAUAACAACAGUAACUAAAAAAGUUUACUUCUUCCCACUGGGCUUAAAUUUGCCAUACGGGGACAUGUAGCUCCACUGGAAAAUUUCUAGACAUCUGAAAACUGAGAUUGAAAAAUAUAUUAGGAAGGGAAGUUAGUAAGGAAGGUGGGAAAAUACUUCCCAUCAUGUUCAACAAAGACCUAAUUUUUUUUUUUAAGUGAAAGGUGACUCAUAGUUCUUGAAGAAAAACAGUGAUCUGUCAACCUUCUGAGCAAAAAAAAUGCAUAGGCCAGCUCAGACAGCAGUUUUCACUUAGAAGCAACCAAAACCAAACCUGAACUUCAACAAUUCUGUUCUUAUUUUCACAUUGUCUGCAUUUGUUUGUGUGCACUCCCAAAUACUGGUGGGUAGAGUUUUGUUUUGUAUGUUUAUGUAGCUUCAUAUGUAACUUCAUCUGGCAUAACACUGGGAAAAAAACAUUGGUCAGGAAGGUACGGCCAAAGAGAUAGCCCAGAUGGCAACCUGACAUUCCUGGUCUUUCCUAGCAAGGUGAACACUGGUGUACAGCCACAGCCUCACAGGGCCUGACUUUGCCUUUGGAACCAACACCCACCAACAGUCCCAGCCCGGAGCCACCACGAUCCCCCCACAGCUGUUAGUCUCCAGGAUGCCUGCGAAGUGAUUACAGAAACUAUAAAUUAAAUAAAUGAUUUCCAAACCCGACCUCUGAAGCGCCACAGCCCUCCGGAGGAAGGAACCGCUUCCCCCUUAGAACCACCUGGGAAGCGGCUGGAGCCCGCUCCCCGCCGCCCCCACUGACCGGCGCUGCCGUUACCGGUCCCACUGCGAACUGAGGAAGCGGUGAUGCUUUUUUUAGGCUGUGGAGCUUUCCCCUUUCGGCUUGCACCUACAAUAAAAAAAACCCCAAACAACGCUUCCCUUUCUGACACUCCGGAAAGCCAGCAGGCGAGGCGCCGGGCCUCCCAGCAGCCCCAGCC
Long non-coding RNA from Serinus canaria (Common canary), 7209 nucleotides. RefSeq lists it as uncharacterized. The transcript has 3 exons. Lineage: Eukaryota; Metazoa; Chordata; Aves; Passeriformes; Fringillidae. The record is from RefSeq and is a predicted model, not a curated record.